CCGAGUGAGGGCCCCUCGCGGCCCAACCUCCCACCCGUGUCUCCAACACCUGUUGCUUCGGCGGGCCCACCGGGGCCACCCGGUCGCCGGGGGACAUCCGUCCCCGGGCCCGCGCCCGCCGAGGCGCUCUGUGAACCCUGAUGAAGAUGGGCUGUCUGAGUGAUAUGAAAAUUGUCA
Molecule: unclassified non-coding RNA, 177 nt
Filed under: uncultured Penicillium
Lineage: Eukaryota; Fungi; Ascomycota; Eurotiomycetes; Eurotiales; Aspergillaceae
Description: sequence contains ITS1
Source: RNAcentral